UCUACAUCUUUCAGGUUGUGCAGCAGCUCCGGGAUGCCCCUAAUGUUGAAGUUUCACUGUGCAGAAUGUUGGCCAUAAAUUAUAAGAACAUAAACAGUUUGACAAAAUCAUAGAAGUUUCAUGUUGGAAGGAGUCUUGGAGGUCUUCUACACAGUAUCCCUAACAGAUGCUCACCCAGCCUCUGUUUAACCAUCCUAGAGUUCUCUGAAGGAAAACCGACCACUGUGCAAGGAAUUUGCACUUUAUGCAGAGAAUUGGACAUUGAUAGCAAGCCGGCUCAAUCGAUCAGCCCUAAGCACAAAGAUGCUAUUCUGCAAUAUUUCACAAUUUGCAUAAAGAGAUAUUGCUGUGUUGGUCCAAGAGAAUGGAAAAUGUGUGGGGUGCUAUGGUCGAUAGGGCCAGAUUUUGAAAGCACGAA
Long non-coding RNA from Hemicordylus capensis (graceful crag lizard), 418 nucleotides. RefSeq lists it as uncharacterized. The record is from RefSeq and is a predicted model, not a curated record. NCBI's taxonomy places the organism in Eukaryota, Metazoa, Chordata, Lepidosauria, Squamata, Cordylidae. The transcript is spliced from 3 exons.